GGAUAUAGCUCAGUUGGUAGAGUGCUUGACUCACAUGAACAAGGCCCUGCGUUCAAUCCCCAGUACCA
RNAcentral lists this transfer RNA (68 nucleotides) under Marmota monax (woodchuck). RNAcentral describes it as "tRNA.Val". Lineage: Eukaryota; Metazoa; Chordata; Mammalia; Rodentia; Sciuridae. The record is from RNAcentral.